Papaver somniferum (opium poppy) is the source of this 1606-nucleotide long non-coding RNA. RefSeq lists it as uncharacterized. The record is from RefSeq and is a predicted model, not a curated record. NCBI's taxonomy places the organism in Eukaryota, Viridiplantae, Streptophyta, Magnoliopsida, Ranunculales, Papaveraceae. The transcript is spliced from 4 exons.
UCUCUAUUCUCUGAGAACUCUAACCUUAGGAUAUGUUCUUUUGUCUUUUUUAUUUAUAUAUUUUGAUUUUUUUUAUUUGAUUUCUCUUCAUCUUCUUUUGUGUUUUUUAUUUAUUGCAGGAUUUGAUGUUUAAUCACAGAGGUAUGUCUCGAGUAUAUGGAUUCUGAUUCAGAAAUGCCUGUGAUGGUACCAAAUUAUUUGCUGGUGUAAAGGAGCAUCAUUGUAUGAGUACAUUAGUCAGUACUACAAUUACGCUUGCAAACUUUCUUCGGGAUAGUGAUAUGACUUUAAUCCGAUCACAGGUUAUGGACUUUAGGACAUAUGGGUGUGCAUGAACGUACCAUUUGUUGGUGAAAUUGUUGAAAUCUUGGCGCCAUGGAUGAAUUCAGGUCUUGCAAACAACUGUAAAAAAGUUCUUGGCGUAUUCUACAGACUAAACUUCUGAGAAUACUUACUGGGACAAGUUCCUUGAAGGUGCUAGGCUAGCAAAUUUAAAGAGAUGGAAAAGGUCACAAGGCUUUCUAUGAGCAGUGUGUUUACGGGUUGCAAAUUUACUUCCCCCUUGAUUGUGAUAGUCUGAUUUGGGGUGAUGCUUAAUUUGCCAGAGGAAGAGAUGACAUGCACUUUCAGAAAAAUGGGCAUAUACUCUGUGUUGGAUCUAAUAAACUAAUGCAACUACUUCCCCUGAAUGUUCUUAGUUUUGAUUGUGAUAGGCAUAUACUCAAAACUAAAGAUGGGCAUAUACUCUUACUUGAUUGUGAUAGGCUUAGGUGAAUGUUCGUAGUUUUGGGUAUAUGUUGAUUUAAGCUUGAAGUGACCUUUCGUGGGGUUACUAUCAGUUGCCGGCCACAAGAAAACGGUGAGCAAUUUACCACGAUAAUCCUUGCUGAGAUAUGAUUCAUAGAUACUUGAAUAUGGGUAGAUUAAUAGACUGCUGAUCCAAUUCUAGAAGGUCUAACUCUGCCACUUUCACAAAAUCCGCACUUUAAGGAGGGAUCUUCUUUGAUGUCCUUGAAAGUGGAUCAGGGGUAGUCGCAGCAACACCCACCUCAGGUGGCGAACACAACCUAUCCGCUGGGCAGAAUUUGGUCGAAACAAACGGGACUCACCUAGGAAUUGGGGCACACUACCACUGAAUCUGUGUACACAACCUAAUGGCAAAUGUAUAUAAUUAGUCAAUCUUCCCAUUCAAUUAGUCAGAAUAAUACAUUUUAUAUUGUUUUUUUUUUACUGAUUCGGUGGCUAUUCUAAUAUGCGAUGUGUUUUAUGUUGUAUGAAUGUAAUUUCCAGUUUUCAUUGAAUGAGUUGAAAUACUGUUUAUACUGUUUGGAGUAAACCAAUGGCGUUCUGGAAAAGAGUGUGGUGCAAAACAAAAAUGAGUGUGGUUGCAGAUGAGACGAGACACCAGAAUUAGGACUGAACCAGUGGAGUUGUGACUUCCAAUAUAGAAUGACAGAAACACGACUCUUGGCUAACGACUCCUUUGUGGAUACCGCAGGAAGCUUCAAAUACCUUUGUUGAUUGCAACGUACUUAAGUUUCCUAAGGUUGAGUGUCAAUUUAAGUUGUUUGAAAAAUCCGGAAAUGCAUAAAUGAACUUUGAUACU